Molecule: ribosomal RNA, 405 nt
Filed under: uncultured marine eukaryote
Lineage: Eukaryota
Description: SSU rRNA
Rfam family: Eukaryotic small subunit ribosomal RNA
Source: RNAcentral
AACCUGGUUGAUCCUGCCAGUAGCAUACGCUUGUCUCAAAGAUUAAGCCAUGCAUGUCUAAGUAUAAACAAAUCUAUACUGUGAAACUGCGAAUGGCUCAUUAUAUCAGUUAUAGUUUAUUUGAUGGUUCUUGCUACUUGGAUAACCGUAGUAAUUCUAGAGCUAAUACAUGCAUCAAACCUCGACUUUUUUGGAAGAGGUGUAUUUAUUAGAUGGAAACCAAUGCGGGGCAACCCGGAUUCAGGUGAUUCAUAAUAACUUUCGGAUCGAUCUUCGGAUCGAUGCAUCAUUCAAGUUUCUGCCCUAUCAGCUUUGGAUGGUAGGGUAUUGGCCUACCAUGGCUUUAACGGGUAACGGAGAAUUAGGGUUCGAUUCCGGAGAGGGAGCCUGAGAAACGGCUACCAC